RNAcentral lists this ribosomal RNA (492 nucleotides) under uncultured bacterium. RNAcentral describes it as "partial 16S ribosomal RNA". It matches the Rfam family "Bacterial small subunit ribosomal RNA", at positions 29 to 507 of the family's 1533-position model. The record is from RNAcentral.
AGUGGACGCUGGCGGUAGGCCUAACACAUGCAAGUCGAACGGCAGCACAGUAAGAGCUUGCUCUUACGGGUGGCGAGUGGCGGACGGGUGAGGAAUACAUCGGAAUCUACUUUUUCGUGGGGGAUAACGUAGGGAAACUUACGCUAAUACCGCAUACGACCUACGGGUGAAAGCAGGGGAUCUUCGGACCUUGCGCGAUUGAAUGAGCCGAUGUCGGAUUAGCUAGUUGGCGGGGUAAGGGCCCACCAAGGCGACGAUCCGUAGCUGGUCUGAGAGGAUGAUCAGCCACACUGGAACUGAGACACGGUCCAGACUCCUACGGGAGGCAGCAGUGGGGAAUAUUGGACAAUGGGCGCAAGCCUGAUCCAGCCAUACCGCGUGGGUGAAGAAGGCCUUCGGGUUGUAAAGCCCUUUUGUUGGGAAAGAAAAGCAGCAGGUUAAUACCCCGCUGUUCUGACGGUACCCAAAGAAUAAGCACCGGCUAACUUCGUG